UCUUUUUCUUCCUUUUCUUUUCUUAUCAGAACUUUGUUUGUGUUUCUUAUAACAGUCAAAAGAUGGCAUAUUCUGGAUGUCCUGGCAAGACUUCCAAAUUCAUUUUCGAUCAAUAUAUGUUUGCCGUAUCUAUCCCCCAGAGAUGCGCUACUCUGUUCACGGCCAAUGGCGAAGUUAUAGUGCUGGUGGUUGCCAAGACUAUGAGACAUGGCAUCAAAAUCCACAAUUCCGAUUGCGGGCCACAGGGCCAGAUGCCUCAUUUCCAAUUCAUGUAUUCAUUACAUUGACACAGGUAUCUUUAUUGCCCCCCCCUGUUGCAGAUUUAUCCAUAAUUAUCUUUUUAUUGCUAGAUUUUUUUUAAUGACUUUUUUCACAUGUUCUCUGCCUAGGGUGUGAGCUUCUCAAGAACAGUUGCUGGUUUCAGAAACUAUCAAUCCAGCCAUGAUUCAAUGAUGUUCUAUAUUGGGAUGAGGAUACUCAAAACCCGAGGCCGCCGAGCUGCUUACAAUAUAUACCUACAUGAAUCAGUUGGUGGGACAGAUUAUGUUAAUUCACGAGAAAUAUCGUGUGAAAUGGUUUUGGAUCCAGAUCCAAAAGGUUACACAAUAGUCCCAACAACUAUACACCCUGGCGAAG
Molecule: long non-coding RNA, 636 nt
Filed under: Fragaria vesca (wild strawberry)
Lineage: Eukaryota; Viridiplantae; Streptophyta; Magnoliopsida; Rosales; Rosaceae
Description: long non-coding RNA (FVES_LNC001526)
Source: RNAcentral